RNAcentral lists this ribosomal RNA (461 nucleotides) under uncultured bacterium. Its description in RNAcentral is "bacterial SSU rRNA". It matches the Rfam family "Bacterial small subunit ribosomal RNA", at positions 923 to 1379 of the family's 1533-position model. The record is from RNAcentral.
GCACAAGCGGUGGAGCAUGUGGUUUAAUUCGAUGCAACGCGCAGAACCUUACCAGCUCUUGACAUGCUAGGUUUUGGACUUGAGAGAUUGAGUCCUUCAGUUCGGCUGGGCCUAGUACAGGUGCUGCAUGGCUGUCGUCAGCUCGUGUCGUGAGAUGUUGGGUUAAGUCCCGCAACGAGCGCAACCCUCAUCUUCAGUUGCCAUCAGGUUAUGCUGGGCACUCUGAAGAAACUGCCGGUGACAAGCCGGAGGAAGGUGGGGAUGACGUCAAGUCCUCAUGGCCUUUAUGAGCUGGGCCACACACGUGCUACAAUGGCGGUGACAAUGGGAUGCAAUGGGGCGACCCCUAGCGAAUCUCAAAAAGCCGUCUCAGUUCGGAUUGCACUCUGCAACUCGAGUGCAUGAAGUUGGAAUCGCUAGUAAUCGUGGAUCAGCAUGCCACGGUGAAUACGUUCCCGGGC